This 116-nucleotide ribosomal RNA is filed under the name Tenebrionicola larvae. The record is from RNAcentral. Lineage: Bacteria; Pseudomonadati; Pseudomonadota; Gammaproteobacteria; Enterobacterales; Enterobacteriaceae.
CCUGGCGGCGAUAGCGCGGUGGUCCCACCUGACCCCAUGCCGAACUCAGAAGUGAAACGCCGUAGUGCCGAUGGUAGUGUGGGGUCUCCCCAUGCGAGAGUAGGGAACUGCCAGGC